Carassius carassius (crucian carp) is the source of this 249-nucleotide long non-coding RNA. RefSeq lists it as uncharacterized. NCBI's taxonomy places the organism in Eukaryota, Metazoa, Chordata, Actinopteri, Cypriniformes, Cyprinidae. The record is from RefSeq and is a predicted model, not a curated record. The transcript is spliced from 3 exons.
AACUGGCUUCUGAAUCGGAAACUGCGGCUUAGGUUGUUGUGGAACUGGCUUCUGAAGCGGAAACUGCGGCUUAGGUUGUUGUGGAACUGGCUUCUGAAGCGGAAACUGCGGCUUAGGUUGUUGUGGAACUGGCUUCUGAAGCGGAAACUGCGGUGUAGGUUGUUGUGGAACUGGCUUCUGAAGCGGAAACUGCGGGUAAGGUUGUUGUGGAACUGGCUUCUGAAGCGGAAACUGCAGCUUAGGUUGUUG